CACGGGUGAGUAACACGUAUCCAACCUGCCUCAUACUCGGGGAUAGCCUUUCGAAAGAAAGAUUAAUACCCGAUGUCAUAGUCCUACCGCAUGAUGGGAUUAUUAAAGAAUUUCGGUAUGGGAUGGGGAUGCGUUCCAUUAGUUAGUUGGCGGGGUAACGGCCCACCAAGACAACGAUGGAUAGGGGUUCUGAGAGGAAGGUCCCCCACAUUGGAACUGAGACACGGUCCAAACUCCUACGGGAGGCAGCAGUGAGGAAUAUUGGUCAAUGGACGAGAGUCUGAACCAGCCAAGUAGCGUGAAGGAUGACUGCCCUAUGGGUUGUAAACUUCUUUUAUAUGGGAAUAAAAUGUUCCACGUGUGGGAUUUUGUAUGUACCAUAUGAAUAAGGAUCGGCUAACUCCGUGCCAGCAGCCGCGGUAAUACGGAGGAUCCGAGCGUUAUCCGGAUUUAUUGGGUUUAAAGGGAGCGUAGGUGGAUUGUUAAGUCAGUUGUGAAAGUUUGCGGCUCAACCGUAAAAUUGCAGUUGAAACUGGCAGUCUUGAGUACAGUAGAGGUGGGCGGAAUUCGUGGUGUAGCGGUGAAAUGCUUAGAUAUCACGAAGAACUCCGAUUGCGAAGGCAGCUCACUGGACUGCAACUGACACUGAGGCUCGAAAGUGUGGGUAUCAAACAGGAUUAGAUACCCUGGUAGU
This 694-nucleotide ribosomal RNA is filed under the name uncultured bacterium. RNAcentral describes it as "bacterial SSU rRNA". It matches the Rfam family "Bacterial small subunit ribosomal RNA", at positions 100 to 794 of the family's 1533-position model. The record is from RNAcentral.